UGGGGAAUAUUGCACAAUGGGGGGAACCCUGAUGCAGCGACGCCGCGUGAGCGAAGAAGUAUUUCGGUAUGUAAAGCUCUAUCAGCAGGGAAGAAAAUGACGGUACCUGACUAAGAAGCCCGGCUAACUACGUGCC
RNAcentral lists this ribosomal RNA (136 nucleotides) under uncultured bacterium. RNAcentral's name for it is "partial 16S ribosomal RNA". It matches the Rfam family "Bacterial small subunit ribosomal RNA", at positions 355 to 509 of the family's 1533-position model. The record is from RNAcentral.